This 506-nucleotide ribosomal RNA is filed under the name uncultured bacterium. Its description in RNAcentral is "bacterial SSU rRNA". It matches the Rfam family "Bacterial small subunit ribosomal RNA", at positions 28 to 484 of the family's 1533-position model. The record is from RNAcentral.
GACGAACGCUGGCGGCGUGGAUUAGGCAUGCAAGUCGAACGGUAUAAACCUUUCGGGGUUUAGAGAGUGGCGAACGGGUGAGUAACACGUAGGUAAUCUACCCUCAAAACGGGGACAACCCAGGGAAACUUGGGCUAAUACCGGAUGCGUGCAAGCAAUGUUUUGGCUGUUAAUGCUAUUCACGGAAGUGAGUAGUGUUAAUGGUUGAGAGCAUUAUUUGCAUAAAAGGUGGCAUAUGCUGCCGUUUGAGGAUGAGCCUGCGUCCUAUUAGUUAGUUGGUGAGGUAAUGGCUUACCAAGGCGAUGAUAGGUAGGCGGCCUUAACGGGUGGUCGCCCACACUGGGAUUGAGAGACGGCCCAGACUCCUACGGGAGGCAGCAGUGGGGAAUAUUGCACAAUGGGCGAAAGCCUGAUGCAGCGACGCCGCGUGAAGGAUGAAGGUCUUCGGAUUGUAAACUUCUAUCAGCAGGGAAGAAAGGGCCUAUGGCCUAUGACGGUACCUGACU